AAGAAGGAAAGGAAAGCAGCCAGAGCUACUUUCACGUGGAUUCAAAGGAACUUUGCGCAUUGCCCUGUGGAUGCCACUGAUGAUGUGAUCCAGACACAUGCUCGUGUCUAUAUGUGGUACGUUGUCUCAAGGACUUUGUUUCCUGACGCCACAAGCAAGAACGCUCCAUGGAUGUGGCUGAAGGCGUUGACCGUCUUCGAUAGCAGAUGGAGCUGGGGUUCAGUGACUCUUGCCUACUUGUACCAACAGGUAGUUGGCUUGUUUUGUUAUCAAUUCAUUUCUUCAUUAGCAAUGCAACAUUGUUUUCAAGUUAACAUUGUUUUCUUUUAUAUGCAGCUGGACGAUGCGUGUUGCAGGAUCACAUAUAGUGCAUGCAUUGGUGGUAAUCUGCUUCUACUUUCAGUAUGGGCUGGGAGCGUCUGCCUGUUGGACGCCCGAAGAGAGUCAAGUUUAAUCUUGGGAUGA
Molecule: ribosomal RNA, 465 nt
Filed under: Triticum aestivum (bread wheat)
Lineage: Eukaryota; Viridiplantae; Streptophyta; Magnoliopsida; Poales; Poaceae
Description: partial small subunit ribosomal RNA
Source: RNAcentral